GUAGGUGRACCUGCGGAAGGAUCAUUGUCGAAACCUGCCUAGCAGAAUGACCUGUGAACUCUUUAAAACACUGGAGGGUGCGUGCAUUCAGCGCGUUCCCCUCCCUUCUUCAUCAGGCGUGGGCUUACGCUCGUGCUUGUUGUAGAACAACCACCCCCGGGCGCAGUAUGCGCCAAGGAAAACUAACAAGAGAGCACGAUCUCAGGCCCCAUACACGGUGUGCUUGGGAUGCAGUGCAUUCUUUCAAAUUAUCUAUAACGACUCUCCAUCGAUGAAGAACGCAGCGAAAUGCGAUACUUGGUGUGAAUUGCAGGAUCCCGUGAACCAUCGAGUCUUUGAACGCAAGUUGCGCCCCAAGCUGUUAGGCUGAGGGCACGUCUGCCUGGGUGUCACGCAUCAUUGCCCCAUCCUCACCCCUCUGGGGCCAGAUGGUGUAGGCGGAGAAUGGCCUCCCGUGAGCAAGCACUCGCGGUUGGCCCAAAAAUGAGUCCUCGGUGACCGAAGCAGUGACGAUCGGUGGUGCAAACUUGCCUCUCGAGUUCACGUCACUUGCUUACGUCUUCGAUUAAAGACUCAAGGACCCUGACGCUCUGUAAAAGCGGAGCUCGCAUUGCGACCCCAGGUCAGGCGGGAUUACCCGCUGAGUUUAAGC
RNAcentral lists this small RNA (652 nucleotides) under Melicope ovata. RNAcentral describes it as "eukaryotic LSU rRNA". The stretch from base 247 to 392 matches the Rfam family "5.8S ribosomal RNA". Lineage: Eukaryota; Viridiplantae; Streptophyta; Magnoliopsida; Sapindales; Rutaceae. The record is from RNAcentral.